UUAUGACCAUAACACGUUGAAACACCGGGUACUGUAAGAUCACCGAAGUUAAGCAACGCCAAAACUGGUUAGUAUCCAGAUGGGUGACCGCUUGGGAAUACCAGGUGCUGUAA
This is a non-coding RNA of Acanthosepion pharaonis, 113 nucleotides long. The record is from the annotation of a GenBank genome assembly. Lineage: Eukaryota; Metazoa; Mollusca; Cephalopoda; Sepiida; Sepiidae.